GUCGAGAAUCUUCCGCAAUGGGCGCAAGCCUGACGGAGCGACGCCGCGUGGAGGAAGAAGGCCUUCGGGUUGUAAACUCCUGUCACGACUUACGAACACCGGGGAACUAACUACCCCCGGCUGACGAAGGGUCGGAAGGAAGCCACAGCUAACUUCGUGCCAGCAGCUGCGGUAAGACGAAGGUGGCAAGCGUUGUUCGGAUUCACUGGGCAUAAAGGGCGCGUAGGCUGUUCCGCAAGCGGCUCGUGAAAUCCUCUGGCUCAACCAGAGAAGUGCGGGCCGGACUGCGGUGCUUGAGGGCGGUAGGGGAGAGUGGAACUCUCGGUGGAGCGGUGAAAUGCGUAGAUAUCGAGAGGAACACCGGUGGCGAAGGCGACUCUCUGGUCCGCCCCUGACGCUGAGGCGCGAAAGCGUGGGUAGCAAACAGGAUUAGAAACCCUGGUAGUCC
RNAcentral lists this ribosomal RNA (448 nucleotides) under uncultured bacterium. RNAcentral's name for it is "bacterial SSU rRNA". It matches the Rfam family "Bacterial small subunit ribosomal RNA", at positions 354 to 796 of the family's 1533-position model. The record is from RNAcentral.